Anthonomus grandis grandis is the source of this 401-nucleotide long non-coding RNA. RefSeq lists it as uncharacterized. The transcript has 2 exons. Lineage: Eukaryota; Metazoa; Arthropoda; Insecta; Coleoptera; Curculionidae. The record is from RefSeq and is a predicted model, not a curated record.
UCUUACAAAAACAAACUGUAAACUGUCUUAUGCUUGGGUGUUCCUAUCUACCCUGUGUAUAAACAGUUCGUUUUCAUCAUAACUUUGGAUUUUUCCACCCUAACGAACAUGUUUGAUUUUGGGGAUACUUUGGCGUUAUUAAUUAUACUUACUAUCACAGCAGUAGGCAUAUUGGCCUGCCUGGGAGCCUAUGCCAGGAGGAGAUCCUACAUGGAGGCAUUAUAAGCAAUUGAGUUUGUCAAGAAGCAAGAUGGGCAUAGAGGAUAUUAUCUAUUCAGCAGAUCAAAUGCACAUUUUGUAAAAAUAUUAUGUAAAUAUUUAAUUACAUUUAGUUAAAUAAAAUUAUAAUCAUAAGCUAGGAUUAAGUCUAAGAUAAAUAAAAACCCGUAUUAUGAACAAAA